Molecule: ribosomal RNA, 250 nt
Filed under: uncultured bacterium
Lineage: Bacteria
Description: partial 16S ribosomal RNA
Rfam family: Bacterial small subunit ribosomal RNA
Source: RNAcentral
UACGGAGGGUGCGAGCGUUAUCCGGAAUUACUGGGUUUAAAGGGUGCGUAGGCGGCUUGGUAAGUCAGGAGUGAAAGUUUGCGGCUCAACCGUAAAAUUGCUUUUGAUACUGCCAGGCUAGAAUCAGGAUGAGGUCAGCGGAAUGUGGCAUGUAGCGGUGAAAUGCAUAGAUAUGCCAUAGAACACCUAUUGCGAAGGCAGCUGGCUAGACCUGUAUUGACGCUGAGGCACGAAAGCGUGGGGAGCGAAC